GCUUAGCCCUAWACACAAAUAAUUACACAAACAAAAUUAUUCGCCAGAGUACUACUAGCAACAGCCUAAAACUCAAAGGACUUGGCGGUGCUUUACACCCUUCUAGAGGAGCCUGUUCUAUAAUCGAUAAACCCCGAUAAACCUUACCAAUCCUUGCUAAUACAGUCUAUAUACCGCCAUCUUCAGCAAACCCUAAAAAGGAACAAAAGUAAGCAAAACCAUACCACAUAAAAACGUUAGGUCAAGGUGUAACCUAUGGAAUGGGAAGAAAUGGGCUACAUUUUCUACCUUAAGAAAACCCAAUACGAAAGUUAUUAUGAAACUAAUAACCAAAGGAGGAUUUAGUAGUAAAUUAAGAAUAGAGUGCUUAGUUGAAUUAGGCCAUGGAG
RNAcentral lists this ribosomal RNA (389 nucleotides) under Okapia johnstoni (okapi). Its description in RNAcentral is "partial 12S ribosomal RNA". It matches the Rfam family "Bacterial small subunit ribosomal RNA", at positions 794 to 1379 of the family's 1533-position model. Lineage: Eukaryota; Metazoa; Chordata; Mammalia; Artiodactyla; Giraffidae. The record is from RNAcentral.